Molecule: ribosomal RNA, 495 nt
Filed under: uncultured bacterium
Lineage: Bacteria
Description: bacterial SSU rRNA
Rfam family: Bacterial small subunit ribosomal RNA
Source: RNAcentral
GAUCAACGCUGGCGGCGUGCCUAAUGCAUGCAAGUCGAGCGCGGACCCCUUCGGGGGUGCUGCGCGGCGGACGGGUGCGUAACACGUGGGCAACCUGCCCUGGGGUGGGGGAUAGCCGUGGGAAACCGCGGGUAAUUCCGCAUACGUUGCUUUUCCGACGGGGAGGAGCAAGAAAGGCGCUUUGGCGUCGCCCGCGGAGGGGCCUGCGGCCGAUUAGCUGGACGGUGGGGUCACGGCCUACCGUGGCGAUGAUCGGUAGCUGGUCUGAGAGGACGGCCAGCCACACGGGGACUGCGACACGGCCCCGACUCCUACGGGAGGCAGCAGCAAGGAAUCUUCCGCAAUGGGGGCAACCCUGACGGAGCAACGCCGCGUGGGGGAUGACGCCCUUCGGGGUGUAAACCCCUUUUCUGCGGGAAGAAGGUGGGGCAACCCACUUGACGGUACCGGAGGAAGAAGGACCGGCUAACUACGUGCCAGCAGCCGCAGUAACAC